AACCGUUAUAACCGGCGAUUUCCGAAUGGGGAAACCCAGUGUGACUCGUCACACUAUCAUUAACUGAAUCCAUAGGUUAAUGAGGCGAACCGGGGGAACUGAAACAUCUAAGUACCCCGAGGAAAAGAAAUCAACCGAGAUUCCCCCAGUAGCGGCGAGCGAACGGGGAGGAGCCCAGAGCCUGAAUCAGCAUGUGUGUUAGUGGAAGCGUCUGGAAAGGCGCGCGAUACAGGGUGACAGCCCCGUACACAAAAGCGCAUGUGCUGUGAGCUCGAUGAGUAGGGCGGGACACGUGGUAUCCUGUCUGAAUAUGGGGGGACCAUCCUCCAAGGCUAAAUACUCCUGACUGACCGAUAGUGAACCAGUACCGUGAGGGAAAGGCGAAAAGAACCCCGGCGAGGGGAGUGAAAAAGAACCUGAAACCGUGUACGUACAAGCAGUGGGAGCCCCCUUUGGGGUGUGACUGCGUACCUUUUGUAUAAUGGGUCAGCGACUUAUAUUCUGUAGCAAGGUUAACCGAAUAGGGGAGCCGGAGGGAAACCGAGUCUUAAUUGGGCGUUAAGUUGCAGGGUAUAGAC
Molecule: ribosomal RNA, 578 nt
Filed under: Salmonella enterica subsp. enterica serovar Schwarzengrund
Lineage: Bacteria; Pseudomonadati; Pseudomonadota; Gammaproteobacteria; Enterobacterales; Enterobacteriaceae
Description: bacterial LSU rRNA
Rfam family: Bacterial large subunit ribosomal RNA
Source: RNAcentral